CACAAAAUGACUCUCGGCAACGGAUAUCUCGGCUCUUGCAUCGAUGAAGAACGCAGMRAAAUGCGAUACUUGGUGUGAAUUGCAGAAUCCCGUGAACCAUCGAGUCUUUGAACGCAAGUUGCGCCCGAAGCCAUUAGGUUGAGGGCACGCCUGCCUGGGUGUCACAAAU
Molecule: ribosomal RNA, 169 nt
Filed under: Derris luzoniensis
Lineage: Eukaryota; Viridiplantae; Streptophyta; Magnoliopsida; Fabales; Fabaceae
Description: 5.8S ribosomal RNA
Rfam family: 5.8S ribosomal RNA
About the family: 5.8S ribosomal RNA (5.8S rRNA) is a component of the large subunit of the eukaryotic ribosome. It is transcribed by RNA polymerase I as part of the 45S precursor that also contains 18S and 28S rRNA.
Source: RNAcentral